UACGUAGGUGGCAAGCGUUGUCCGGAAUUAUUGGGCGUAAAGCGCGCGCAGGCGGUCCUUUAAGUCUGAUGUGAAAGCCCACGGCUCAACCGUGGAGGGUCAUUGGAAACUGGGGGACUUGAGUACAGAAGAGAAGAGUGGAAUUCCACGUGUAGCGGUGAAAUGCGUAGAGAUGUGGAGGAACACCAGUGGCGAAGGCGGCUCACUGGACCGGUACUGACGCUGAGGCGCGAAAGCGUGGGGAGCAAACAGG
Molecule: ribosomal RNA, 253 nt
Filed under: uncultured bacterium
Lineage: Bacteria
Description: partial 16S ribosomal RNA
Rfam family: Bacterial small subunit ribosomal RNA
Source: RNAcentral